UAGUCUUCAAGCACACCUGCAAAUGUACCUAAAAAUAGGUUUUAGGUACCCAAACACUUUUGGGUCCUUGGGGGUUAGUCAAAUAAUAAUCAUAGCCAUAAGAUAAAUCCCUAUGUUUCGUAAAACAUAUGGAUGCUAUGUGUCCCACCCGAUUGCAAUAAUGACAAGUUACGUUCGGGUUGUGCAUGUGCCUUGGUUGAGCCAAAUACGUUCUAGGUGAUCUAAAAUCGUAAUUCCUAGAAGCGUUGAAAUUCCUAGAGUCAUAUCUAGGUGGUCUAGAAUAAUUAUUUCUAGACUCAUUCACAAAAAUCCUAGAAUCAUUUCUAGGUGCCCUAAAAUGAUUAUUUCUAGGCUCAUUAACAAAUAUCCUAGAAUUAUUUCUAGGUUGCGCAAUACCAUUUCUAUCGUGAUUCUUAUCUUUACGCCUUUUAUUUUUCUUAGGAUUUUUCUUCUUAAUCUCUUCAACUACUUUAGGAACGUCUACACUACAUUUUUCUAGUGUUU
RNAcentral lists this long non-coding RNA (504 nucleotides) under Nicotiana benthamiana. Its description in RNAcentral is "long non-coding RNA (NBEN_LNC027429)". Lineage: Eukaryota; Viridiplantae; Streptophyta; Magnoliopsida; Solanales; Solanaceae. The record is from RNAcentral.